This 935-nucleotide ribosomal RNA is filed under the name uncultured bacterium. Its description in RNAcentral is "bacterial SSU rRNA". It matches the Rfam family "Bacterial small subunit ribosomal RNA", at positions 33 to 942 of the family's 1533-position model. The record is from RNAcentral.
AUGCUGGCGGCGUGCCUAACACAUGCAAGUCGAGCGGCAGCGAGUUUUACACUGAAUUCUGGAAGCUUCUGGGUAAUGUAGAAGAUUUAUUCAAGAAUUUUGUGUAAAAUGUCGGCGAGCGGCGGACGGCUGAGUAACGCGUAGGAAUUUGCCCCAAAGUGAGGAAUAACUGCCCGAAAGGGUAGCUAAUGCCGCAUAUGGUCUUCGGAUUAAAGCCUUCGGGCGCUUUGGGAGAAGCCUGCGUUGGAUUAGGUAGUUGGUAGGGUAAUGGUCUACCAAGCCGACGAUCCAUAGCUGGUCUGAGAGGAUGAUCAGCCAGACUGGAACUGAGACACGGUCCAGACUCCUACGGGAGGCAGCAGUGAGGAAUCUUCCACAAUGGGCGAAAGCCUGAUGGAGCAACGCCGCGUGAAGGAUGAAGGCCUUCGGGUUGUAAACUUCUUUUAUGAGUGAAGAAUAUGACGGUAACUCAUGAAUAAGCACCGGCUAACUACGUGCCAGCAGCCGCGGUCAUACGUAGGGUGCAAGCAUUAUCCGGAGUGACUGGGCGUAAAGAGUUGCGUAGGCGGUUUAAUAAGUGAAUAGUGAAACCUGGUGGCUCAACCAUACAGACUAUUAUUCAAACUGUUAAACUCGAGAAUGGUAGAGGUAACUGGAAUUUCUAGUGUAGGAGUGAAAUCCGUAGAUAUUAGAAGGAACACCGAUGGCGUAGGCAGGUUACUGGGCCAUUUCUGACGCUAAGGCACGAAAGCGUGGGGAGCGAACCGGAUUAGAUACCCGGGUAGUCCACGCCGUAAACGAUGGAUACUAGCUGUUGGAGGUAUCGACCCCUUCAGUAGCGAAGCUAACGCGUUAAGUAUCCCGCCUGUGGAGUGCGGCCGCAAGGCUAAAACAUAAAGGAAUUGACGGGGACCCGCACAAGCGGUGGAUUAUGU